RNAcentral lists this ribosomal RNA (313 nucleotides) under uncultured bacterium. RNAcentral's name for it is "bacterial SSU rRNA". It matches the Rfam family "Bacterial small subunit ribosomal RNA", at positions 1 to 331 of the family's 1533-position model. The record is from RNAcentral.
UAGUGAGUUUGAUCCUGGCUCAGGGUGAACGCUGGCGGCGUGCCUAAGACAUGCAAGUCGAACGCAGUAGCUUGCUACUGAGUGGCGCGACGGGUGAGUAACACGUAACUGACCUACCCGUAGUCCCGCACAACGGUCCGAAAGGACCGCUAAUUUGGGGAUGUGAACCCGCACCGUGGUGCGUGUUUAAAGAUUCAUCGCUAUGGGAUGGGGUUGCGGCGCAUCAGCUCGUUGGUGAGGUAAAGGCUCACCAAGGCAACGCGCGUAACCGGCUGGAGAGGGUGUCGGUCACAGGGGCACUGAGACCACGGGG